CCCACCUGUAUAACAAGGGAAUACAUUUCAUGUCUUUACCAUUAGGCGCCCACCUGUAUAACAAGGGAAUACAUUUCAUGUCUUUACCAUUAGGCGCCCACCUGUAUAACAAGGGAAUACAUUUCAUGUCUUUACCAUUAGGCGUCCACCUGUAUAACAAGGGAAUACAUUUCUGUCUUUUCAUUUCUGUUCUAGGUCACCCACCAGUAUAAUGCGGGAAUACAUUUCUGUCUUUUUAUUUUGUUCUAGGUCGCCCACCAGUAUAAUGCGGGAAUACAUUCAUGUUCUAGGUCGCCCACCACUAUAAUGCGGGAAUUC
This 318-nucleotide long non-coding RNA is filed under the name Nicotiana tabacum (common tobacco). RNAcentral's name for it is "long non-coding RNA (NTAB_LNC019393)". Lineage: Eukaryota; Viridiplantae; Streptophyta; Magnoliopsida; Solanales; Solanaceae. The record is from RNAcentral.